GGAAGUUGAUCAUGGAUUAUAAAAAAGGUUUACAAUUGAUUUUUCCUGAGUCGAUGCCCGAGCGGUUAAUGUGGAUGGACUGUAAAUUCGUUGGUAAUAUGUCUACGCUGGUUCAAAUCCAGCUCAGCCCAAUAGUUUGCCG
Molecule: non-coding RNA, 142 nt
Organism: Lupinus albus (white lupine)
Lineage: Eukaryota; Viridiplantae; Streptophyta; Magnoliopsida; Fabales; Fabaceae
Source: the annotation of a GenBank genome assembly